This 982-nucleotide ribosomal RNA is filed under the name human gut metagenome. RNAcentral's name for it is "bacterial LSU rRNA". It matches the Rfam family "Bacterial large subunit ribosomal RNA", at positions 1942 to 2925 of the family's 2925-position model. The record is from RNAcentral.
AUAACGGUCCUAAGGUAGCGAAAUUCCUUGUCAGGUAAGUUCUGACCCGCACGAAAGGCGUAACGAUUUGGGCGCUGUCUCGGCAGCAGACUCGGUGAAAUCUUAGUACCUGUGAAAAUGCAGGUUACCCGCAACUAGACGGAAAGACCCCAUGGAGCUUUACUGCAGCCUGAUAUUGAGUUUCGAUCAGAGAUGUACAGGAUAGGUGGGAGACAAAGAGACAUGCACGCCAGUGUAUGAGGAGUCGCUGUUGGGAUACCACUCUUGUCUGAUUGGAAUUCUAACCUGCAUCCCUAAGCGGGAUGAGGGACCGUGUCAGGUGGGCAGUUUGACUGGGGCGGUCGCCUCCCAAAGAGUAACGGAGGCGCCCAAAGGUACGCUCAGAUUGGAUGGAAAUCAAUCGACGAGUGCAAAUGCAGAAGCGUGCUUGACUGUGAGACAAACAAGUCGAACAGGGACGAAAGUCGGGAUUAGUGAUCCGGCGGUGCCGAAUGGAAGGGCCGUCGCUCAACGGAUAAAAGCUACCCUGGGGAUAACAGGCUGAUCUCCCCCAAGAGUCCACAUCGACGGGGAGGUUUGGCACCUCGAUGUCGGCUCAUCGCAUCCUGGGGCUGUAGCAGGUCCCAAGGGUUGGGCUGUUCGCCCAUUAAAGCGGUACGCGAGCUGGGUUCAGAACGUCGUGAGACAGUUCGGUCCCUAUCUGUUGUGGGCGAAGGAGAUUUGAGGAGAGCUGUCCUUAGUACGAGAGGACCGGGAUGGACCUACCGCUGGUGCACCGGUUGUUCCGCCAGGAGCAUAGCCGGGUAGCUAAGUAGGGAAGGGAUAAGCGCUGAAAGCAUCUAAGCGCGAAGCCUACUCCAAGAUGAGAUCUCCCAUUCGCAAGAAGUAAGACCCCUUGAAGACGACGAGGUAGAUAGGUCAGAGAUGGAAGUGUAGCGAUACAUGGAGUUGACUGAUACUAAUAGGUCGAGGACUUAAUCAC